Molecule: ribosomal RNA, 600 nt
Filed under: Cylindrospermum sp. LCRNK26
Lineage: Bacteria; Bacillati; Cyanobacteriota; Cyanophyceae; Nostocales; Nostocaceae
Description: bacterial SSU rRNA
Rfam family: Bacterial small subunit ribosomal RNA
Source: RNAcentral
GCACGGGCCGGAUGUGCCUAAAGGCCCAAGGCUUGCAGCCUGAAGAAGAGCUCGCGUCUGAUUAGCUAGUUGGUGGUGUAAGGGACUACCAAGGCGACGAUCAGUAGCUGGUCUGAGAGGAUGAUCAGCCACACUGGGACUGAGACACGGCCCAGACUCCUACGGGAGGCAGCAGUGGGGAAUUUUCCGCAAUGGGCGAAAGCCUGACGGAGCAAUACCGCGUGAGGGAGGAAGGCUCUUGGGUUGUAAACCUCUUUUCUUAGGGAAUAAGAUAUGAAGGUACCUAAGGAAUAAGCAUCGGCUAACUCCGUGCCAGCAGCCGCGGUAAUACGGAGGAUGCAAGCGUUAUCCGGAAUGAUUGGGCGUAAAGCGUCCGCAGGUGGUUUGUCAAGUCUGCUGUCAAAGAAUGAGGCUUAACCUCAUCAAGGCAGUGGGAAACUGAGAGACUAGAGUGCGUUCGGGGCAGAAAGAAUUCCUGGUGUAGCGGUGAAAUGCGUAGAGAUCAGGAAGAACACCGGUGGCGAAAGCGUUCUGCUAGGCCGCAACUGACACUGAGGACGAAAGCUAGGGGAGCGAUGGGAUUAGAUAUNGNAGUAGNCA